RNAcentral lists this ribosomal RNA (253 nucleotides) under uncultured bacterium. RNAcentral's name for it is "partial 16S ribosomal RNA". It matches the Rfam family "Bacterial small subunit ribosomal RNA", at positions 524 to 776 of the family's 1533-position model. The record is from RNAcentral.
UACAGAGGUCUCAAGCGUUGUUCGGAUUCAUUGGGCGUAAAGGGUGCGUAGGUGGCGCCGUAAGUCAGGUGUGAAAUUUCGGAGCUUAACUCCGAAACUGCAUUUGAUACUGCGGUGCUUGAGGACUGGAGAGGAGACUGGAAUUUACGGUGUAGCAGUGAAAUGCGUAGAGAUCGUAAGGAAGACCAGUGGCGAAGGCGGGUCUCUGGACAGUUCCUGACGCUGAGGAGCGAAAGCGUGGGGAGCAAACAGG